RNAcentral lists this transfer RNA (69 nucleotides) under Bos taurus (domestic cattle). It matches the Rfam family "tRNA". Rfam says of the family: Transfer RNA (tRNA) molecules are approximately 80 nucleotides in length. Their secondary structure includes four short double-helical elements and three loops (D, anti-codon, and T loops). The record is from Rfam by way of RNAcentral. Lineage: Eukaryota; Metazoa; Chordata; Mammalia; Artiodactyla; Bovidae. RNAcentral also lists the same sequence under 4 other names.
CCUGGCAGCUCAGACAGUAAAGAACCUGCCUGCAAUGCAGGAGACCUGGGUUCAAUCCCUGGGUCAGGA